UGAAAAAGCUGGGCCAUUUGGGGAUUUGGAGAAUAAAGGUUGUCAGGCUGUGAUUUUAGCGGCGUCCUGAGCUCCUGUGGAGAUUUGCCUCUCUCCAGCCUUGGGCCAUCUGCAUUCCUUAACAUCUCUGGGCCCAGAAGGAAAAGGAGAAUGCUGACCAGCUCUGGGAAUGGUCUGAAUGAGGAGAGCACGGUUCCUGGCGGCGGUGGCCUCGGUCCGCAAACAGCCUUGUCCGCAAUGUGCCCAACACGUUGGAAACCUUCUCUUCCCGCAGCUCAGGAUAGAAAACGCAGUCCCGGGGUGGAGUGUGAGUAUCGUUUCCCCAGGGCUGGGGGAAGGGCUCGGCAGACGGUGAGUCAGGGUUUUGCAAAUGUAUGUUUACGCUGGUG
This 389-nucleotide long non-coding RNA is filed under the name Neogale vison (American mink). RNAcentral's name for it is "Neovison vison (American mink) lncRNA (ENSNVIG00000008813.1)". Lineage: Eukaryota; Metazoa; Chordata; Mammalia; Carnivora; Mustelidae. The record is from RNAcentral.